UACGAAGGAUUGGAAAUGCUUCAUAGUGUAACAGUAUGAUUUUGCUUUCACCACAGGUCUGUUUCUUAGGCCUGUGAUAAGGUACUACAAAACAGAA
This 97-nucleotide small nucleolar RNA is filed under the name Chinchilla lanigera (long-tailed chinchilla). Lineage: Eukaryota; Metazoa; Chordata; Mammalia; Rodentia; Chinchillidae. The record is from RNAcentral.